UUUCCAUUUAGAAAUGCAUUUAUUAUAAGAAUACUUCAAUACAACAGUGUGUGAAGUUUGUAAUGACAUUAGUGAAUUAAUGAGCAUUACCCCCACACCCUAUACAUAGGCUUAGUGAAUGUUCAAACUUUUAUUUACAGCAAAACAAAUUUGUUAUAUAACUAGUCAACAGUCUGAGCAAACAGCUUCACCUUUCUACAAACAUACUGUAUAAAAGUAGUGAUAAUGGAAUACAUAUUUUUUUUGUAUGAGAAAAAAAAAAGGAAGGGGGUAUAAUCAAUUAAAAUAGCCAAUUUGAUAUAAGUAGAAAUUUAAAGAAGUUAAAAAAAAUAAGGAGAGGGGGCUUAAUUAAAGUGACCCACUAACCACUGCUAACACACACACAAAUAACUUGUUCACAAUCUCAACAAUGAAACCUAAGAUGUGUACAAUGUCUUUACAUUAAUAACUACAAGAAUGCUUAUGCAACUAAAUAAAUUAGUAAAUACAGACAAACAAGUUUGAAACCAAUAUAUCAAAAUGAAAAUAUAAAGAUGAACAAACAAGAAAAUCGAAUCAAUUAUUUUAUACAAAUGAAAGACGUUGAAUAAAAAUGACAGUACGGUACUCAUACAUACAUAUGAUUUCACUUCUGAUAAAUUCUUAAGUAAAAAAAGCAACUAAUAAGUUAAAAAAAAAAAGAUAUAAAUUAAACAAUAACUAAAAAAAUAAUGUCAAAAUAAUAUGAAUUUGAAUUUCCAACGUAUGUAAUUGUUGUAGCAACAUGAAUGGAUGUAUUGCAAUCUAAAAACAUUUUAUUAGCAAACAUCUUUAUCAAAACAACUCCAACUUUAGUGCUAGAAUAAAUAGAUUGCCCAUCUAACAGAAUUAUACAAUUAAAACAUUUACAAAACAAUGUGAGGAUUUGUUGAAUGCCCCCCCCCCU
Molecule: non-coding RNA, 925 nt
Organism: Biomphalaria pfeifferi
Lineage: Eukaryota; Metazoa; Mollusca; Gastropoda; Planorbidae
Source: the annotation of a GenBank genome assembly